AACGCACCUUGCGCCCUUUGGUAUUCCGAAGGGCAUGCCUGUUUGAGUGUCAUUAAAUUAUCAACCUUGCUCGCUUUUACCGGUUUGAGUUAGGCUUGGAUGUGGGGGUUUUUGCUGGCUUCCUUCAGUGGAUGGUCUGCUCCCCUUAAAUGCAUUAGCGGGAUCUCUUGUGGACCGUCACUUGGUGUGAUAAUUAUCUAUGCCACGUUGACUUUGAAGCAAAACUUAUGGGAAUCCGCUCAUAACCGUCCACUCGUGGACAACUCUUGACAUUUUGACCUCAAAUCAGGUAGGACUACCCGCUGAACUUAA
RNAcentral lists this unclassified non-coding RNA (312 nucleotides) under uncultured fungus. RNAcentral's name for it is "partial contains 5.8S ribosomal RNA, internal transcribed spacer 2, and large subunit ribosomal RNA". The stretch from base 1 to 52 matches the Rfam family "5.8S ribosomal RNA", at positions 103 to 154 of the family's 154-position model. RNAcentral also lists the same sequence under 1 other name. The record is from RNAcentral. Lineage: Eukaryota; Fungi.